This 21-nucleotide non-coding RNA is filed under the name Arabidopsis thaliana (thale cress). Lineage: Eukaryota; Viridiplantae; Streptophyta; Magnoliopsida; Brassicales; Brassicaceae. The record is from RNAcentral.
UACGACGUGCAAUGGGGUGGU